AUUGAACGCUGGCGGCAUGCCUUACACAUGCAAGUCGAACGGCAGCACGGGUGCUUGCACCUGGUGGCGAGUGGCGAACGGGUGAGUAAUGCAUCGGAACGUGCCGUGUAAUGGGGGAUAACGUAGCGAAAGUUACGCUAAUACCGCAUACGCCCUGAGGGGGAAAGCGGGGGAUCGUAAGACCUCGCGUUAUACGAGCGGCCGAUGUCGGAUUAGCUAGUUGGUGGGGUAAAGGCCUACCAAGGCAACGAUCCGUAGCGGGUCUGAGAGGAUGAUCCGCCACACUGGGACUGAGACACGGCCCAGACUCCUACGGGAGGCAGCAGUGGGGAAUUUUGGACAAUGGGCGAAAGCCUGAUCCAGCCAUGCCGCGUGAGUGAAGAAGGCCUUCGGGUUGUAAAGCUCUUUCAGACGGAAAGAAAUCUUCUGGGUUAAUACCCUGGGAGGAUGACGGUACCGUAAGAAGAAGCACCGGCUAACUACGUGCCAGCCGCCGCCGUAA
Molecule: ribosomal RNA, 502 nt
Filed under: uncultured bacterium
Lineage: Bacteria
Description: partial 16S ribosomal RNA
Rfam family: Bacterial small subunit ribosomal RNA
Source: RNAcentral